GCAAAUAGUCUCACAUUCUCUAAAAGAAAGAAAAAUAAAUAAAUACUUCUAGUGGGCAGUGGCGAUGUUUCCCAUUUUGAAGUUUGAACAAAAAUUUAAAAAACUCACCAGAACUCAUUUGCCCAAAACCUCAAUAACUCACGAAUCAUGAAAACCCUAGGGAGGCUAAACUCACCAACCAAGUUUAUGCCGCUGUUGUAUAUCACCACCGCCGCAACAUCACCGCCGGUGGAUCUAGGGAUGUUCCAUCAUCAACUCCUAAUUGUUCUUCUACACCAACAUUGGAAAAGUUUUUUGUAAAUGUUGAAGAUGAGAACCCUUAUGAACCAGAACAAGAUGAUGAACUUAUUGAAUCUGAAAAUCCCGUUGAAGUCGAUAUUUAAAUGCCAUAACUACUUAUAGGUCAAGAAAUGCAUAUUUAAAUGCUUGAAGGAAUGUGAAAUUGAGAAUAAAGUGUUCACGGUUUCCGUAGACAAUUAUUCGGCGAACGACACUUGCAUUCAAAUCAUGAAAGAUACCUUUUCACUUUCUAAAAGGUUAACGUGUGGUGGUAAAUUAUUUCACGUUCGUUGUUGUGCGCACAUUUUAAAUAUCAUGGUGCAACAUGGUUUGAAGCAAGUCAAAACCAUCAUAAAAAAUGUGCAUGAUACGGUGGAUUAUCUCAAUGGAAGUGAAGCUAGGAUGAGAAAGUUUGUUGAACUUGUGCAACAAUUCAAUCUUAAAGAGAGGAAACUCAUUCUUGAAUGCAAGACUCGGUGGAAUUCCACAUAUGAUAUGUUGGCUUCAGCAAUCAAGUUUAAGGAGGUUAUGUUGAUGACAAUCUUAUUUGGUUUUGGGCUCGGGUUGAGAUGUGAGUAUUAAAAUGUUAGAUGUUUUAGGCCUACUCUUUUAUUAAUUUAAGAGUUAGUUUUCUUUUUGGCUAUCAAUUUAAUUUAUUUAUACUAUUUAUUUAUGUUGGUUUUAUCACUUAGAUAUUUAAACGCAUUUCUUGUAGUAGUGACAUUCCCAGAAGACGAUGUUUCCGCCAUCGUCCUAUAAUACUAUUAUUAUAAUUUCUUUCUUUUUCGCUUUGAAAUUCUGGGGUGUUACAGAAGGGCUGCGCUUUUCUAGCGCAGCCCUACUUAAAAUGUGAAGGGCUGCUAUUGAAAGGACUGCUGUCAAAAAGCGCAGCCCUACAGGCCUUUUUCAGCGCAGCCCUUAUUCAUUUUUCCACUAGUGUUUGUACGAGUUGUAUGAUGAGUAUAAGACCUUGUAUUCUUCUCCAACGGAAGUAGUUGGAGAAUGUGAUUAUGGAACUUCAAAUAAUAAUGAAGGGAGCCUUCUCGGCAUGUCUAGGGUGUUACAAGCUGUGAAAAGUGGAAAAAAAACUCAAUGAUGAAGGAAUGUUUGAUAUAUUAAGAUGGUGGAAAGAAAAAUCGGUGAAGUAUCGUAUUUUAUCGAAAAUUGCUGCUGAUGUCUUGGCUAUUCCGAUUACUACUGUUGCAUCUGAGGCUACAUUUAGUGUAGGGAGUAGUGUUAUCGAUUCUUAUUGAGCUUCGUUGCUUCUAGAAAGUAUGCAAAUGCUAAUUUGCACGGGAGAUUGGACUAGGUCGACUUUUGGGAUUAAAAGAAAGAACAAAGAUGUGGAAGACGAUCAACCAAAAGAGAUCGUUAUUCCUAUUCCGUAAGUUGUUUUGGCACAAAAUUUAUGAAGAUUGUUGAACCCUAGUUUUGAUGAUGACAAAGAAACAAAGAUAUAAACUAAGUAGUGAACUAAUGAGUUAUUUAAGUGUAUGGUGUUUAAGGUAUCAAUGAAGGAACUGGGAGA
Beta vulgaris subsp. vulgaris (sugar beet) is the source of this 1807-nucleotide long non-coding RNA. RefSeq lists it as uncharacterized. The transcript has 5 exons. NCBI's taxonomy places the organism in Eukaryota, Viridiplantae, Streptophyta, Magnoliopsida, Caryophyllales, Amaranthaceae. The record is from RefSeq and is a predicted model, not a curated record.